GGGAUGGCAACUUCCCAACCCCUAUCUCCACAGCUAGAAAGGGGUCUUCAGCACACGUGCUUCCCGGGGACACUUCCGAAGCUGAGCCCCAGAGGCUUCUCAGCUGUGCUCCAGAGUCCUUGCAGACGGCCAGUCACGUACCCCUACAGUUACUGCCCCCUGUUCAACCUGAGCAGCUUGAUCUGUUUCACACCUUAACCUCUGUCUCAGACUGGCUUUAAAGGGCUCCACUGCAGGCAUCUCAGCCAGAAGCGGAAACCACUUUGGUCUCCGGAGUCCCUGUGCAACUGCAAAGCAUCAGCAAGGCUUCACAGAUCCAAGUCUAGCCUGACCUCGCCCCCACACCCCCACCGAGUCCAAGCCUCUCGUUUCUCCACUAGGAUGCAGGAAAGCCUCCUCAGGGGCUUCCUGUCCUCUGAUUUGGCCCCCCAUAAUCUGUCAUAUAUCCUGCACCCAGGGAAAACUUUUAGCUGUAAUUCUCAUCAGGUCACACUCUCAAGUUAAAACCACCCAAUGGCUUCCCAGCAUCCUGAGAAUAAAAGCCUGGCCUCUCAUGGUGGCAUCGAAGCCAUCCAAGGAAUAAAAGAAUGGCCUCUCCUGGGGGCCUGUGACACACAUAGGAUAAAAGUGUGACCUCUCGUGGUGAACGCGAGGCCAUCCACAGGAUAAAAGCCUGGCCUCUCAUGCUGGACGCAAGGUCGUCCACAGGAUAAAAGCCUGACGCCUCGUGGUGGACAUGAGGCCGUCCAUAGGAUAAAAGCCUGGCCUCUCAUCGUGGAUGCAAGGCCGUCCACAGAAUAAAAGCCUGGACUCUCAUGGUGGACGCGAGGCCGUCCACAGGAUAAAAGCCUGACGCCUCACAGUGGCCUGCGAGUCUGACCUUAUUCUGACCCGUUUCCCCUCUCGCUUCCUCCUGGGCUGCGCUCCGCUGCACUCACACAACCUCGUCCUGCAGUUCCAGCGCUGGUGUGUUUUUGUCUCAGGCCUUCUCUUCCCAAAUCUCUUGAGACUGCUCCAUCCCACCAUUCAGAUCUCUUCCCGGAGAUUACCUACCCAGACCACCCACCAUCACGGCCCCUGUCCCCCCAGACUGCCUAAGGUCCUCAUCACGCCCCACACUGUGAGAUCACGGCGGUGAUGGG
Molecule: long non-coding RNA, 1142 nt
Filed under: Equus caballus (horse)
Lineage: Eukaryota; Metazoa; Chordata; Mammalia; Perissodactyla; Equidae
Description: lncRNA (ENSECAG00000050373.1)
Source: RNAcentral